AGGUGUUGACGAGUGUCCCAUCUCAACAGCACCUAGCAGAGCUUAAACGCAAGGCUAUUGAUCAGGGAUCACCCGUGUUACUGGUUAUUAGUUGCGACAAAGAUGGCCUGCUGUGUUCAGAAUUUCUCAAGAAAGGAUUUGACAUACACAAUGCUGAACUAAUCUUGUCAGGUGUAUUGAAGCAGCAAUUGGAUCUCGACUUAUAUAAACUUGAAAUAACUUUGGAGUGACAGCAUGUUACAGAUGUAAAAGUUUCGCCCCUCACGAAUUUAAAUUUUAGUUAGAUUUAAUCAAUAUUUUUCACUCAGUGUUAUCUGGCUUUUUAUCACGAUAUUGAUGAUAUGUUCGA
Molecule: non-coding RNA, 349 nt
Organism: Pocillopora verrucosa
Lineage: Eukaryota; Metazoa; Cnidaria; Anthozoa; Scleractinia; Pocilloporidae
Source: RefSeq, a predicted model, not a curated record